AUGGCUGUCGUCAGCUCGUGUCGUGAGAUGUUGGGUUAAGUCCCGCAACGAGCGCAACCCUUACUUUUAGUUGCUACCAUUCAGUUGGGCACUCUAAAAGAACUGCCAGUGAUAAGCUGGAGGAAGGUGGGGAUGACGUCAAGUCCUCAUGGCCCUUACGUGUUGGGCUACACACGUGCUACAAUGGUAUUUACAGUGGGAUGCUAAGAGGCAACUCCAAGCCAACCCCCAAAAGAUACCUCAGUUCGGAUUGCACUCUGCAACUCGAGUGCAUGAAGCUGGAAUUACUAGUAAUCGUGGAUCAGCGCGCCACGGUGAAUACGUUCCCGGGUCUUGUACACACCGCCCGUCACACCAUGGAAGUUGGUUACACCUUAAGGCAAAGUGUAAAAACUUUGACUACGGUACGAUCAGCGACUGGGGUGAAGUCGUAACAAGGUAGCCGUAGGGGAACCUGCGGCUGGAUCACCUCCUUUCUAAGGAAAUCGAAAAAUAUUAAAACAAUUAUUUUCGAUUUAAAAAAAACCGGUAAUGUGACCGUCCUCAUUUCUCUUCUUUUAAUGUCUCUGAGUAAAAAUAGUGUAAGGGGCCGGUAGCUCAGGUGGUUAGAGCGCACCCCUGAUAAGGGUGAGGUCGGAAGUUCGAAUCUUCCUCGGCCCACCAAUAUUAUGGGGGAUUAGCUCAGCUGGGAGAGCGCCUGAUUUGCAUUCAGGAGGCCAGCGGUUCGAUCCCGCUAUCCUCCACCAAAAUUUGAGACAUUUAGCUUUUUUAAAUUGUGAAUAAUUUUAUUAUCAAUAUCUAUAUCCGAUUGUUUUCAUAUAUUUUUUUGAAAACAAUCAAAACAAAAAUUUGAAUUUUACACAGAAAGUUUUUUUCUGUGCAUAAAUCAAGCGUUUAAGGGCGAUUGGCGGAUGCCUUGGCACUGUAAGACGAUGAAGGACGUGGUAUACUGCGAUAAGUUUCGGGGAGCUGUAUGCAAGCUUUGAUCCGAAAAUUUCCGAAUGGGGAAACCCGG
RNAcentral lists this small RNA (1015 nucleotides) under uncultured bacterium. Its description in RNAcentral is "bacterial SSU rRNA". The stretch from base 1 to 476 matches the Rfam family "Bacterial small subunit ribosomal RNA", at positions 1045 to 1533 of the family's 1533-position model. The record is from RNAcentral.